UACGGCCGCAAGGUUAAAACUCAAAUGAAUUGACGGGGGCCCGCACAAGCGGUGGAGCAUGUGGUUUAAUUCGAUGCAACGCGAAGAACCUUACCUGGUCUUGACAUCCACGGAAGUUUUCAGAGAUGAGAAUGUGCCUUCGGGAACCGUGAGACAGGUGCUGCAUGGCUGUCGUCAGCUCGUGUUGUGAAAUGUUGGGUUAAGUCCCGCAACGAGCGCAACCCUUAUCCUUUGUUGCCAGCGGUCCGGCCGGGAACUCAAAGGAGACUGCCAGUGAUAAACUGGAGGAAGGUGGGGAUGACGUCAAGUCAUCAUGGCCCUUACGACCAGGGCUACACACGUGCUACAAUGGCGCAUACAAAGAGAAGCGACCUCGCGAGAGCAAGCGGACCUCAUAAAGUGCGUCGUAGUCCGGAUUGGAGUCUGCAACUCGACUCCAUGAAGUCGGAAUCGCUAGUAAUCGUGGAUCAGAAUGCCACGGUGAAUACGUUCCCGGGCCUUGUACACACCGCCCGUCACACCAUGGGAGUGGGUUGCAAAAGAAGUAGGUAGCUUAACCUUCGGGAGGGCGCUUACCACUUUGUGAUUCAUGACUGGGGUGAAGUCGUAACAAGGUAACCGUAGGGGAACCUGCGGUUGGAUCAC
This 645-nucleotide ribosomal RNA is filed under the name Escherichia coli. RNAcentral's name for it is "bacterial SSU rRNA". It matches the Rfam family "Bacterial small subunit ribosomal RNA", at positions 881 to 1526 of the family's 1533-position model. Lineage: Bacteria; Pseudomonadati; Pseudomonadota; Gammaproteobacteria; Enterobacterales; Enterobacteriaceae. The record is from RNAcentral. RNAcentral also lists the same sequence under 2 other names.